CGUACGGCUCAGUAACACGUAGUCAAUCUACCGUAAAGAGGCGAAUAACCACGGGAAACUGUGGGCAAUACGCCGUAGGCUACAGCAUCUGGAAGGAGCUGUAACUGAUAAGGUUGCGAACUGGAGCAUUACCGCUUUACGAUGAGAUUGCGGCGGAUCAGGCAGAUGGCGGGGUAACGGCCCACCAUACCGAUAACCCGUAGGGGAUGUGAGAGCAUAGGCUCCGAGAAGGGCACUGAGACAAGGGCCCUAGCGCUACGGCGUGCAGCAGGCGCGCAAACUCCACAAUGCGCGGAAGCGUGAUGGGGGGAAUCUGAGUGGUUCACUUCGGUGAACCUUUUGCCAAGUAUAGCACGCUUGGCGAAUAGGUGCUGGGCAAGACGGGUGCCAGCCGCCACGGUAAUACCCGCAGCACAAGUGGUGUCCGCGAUUAUUGGGCUUAAAGCGCUCGUAGCUGGCUGAUGCCGUCCCAUGUGAAAUAUUGGCGCUCAACGUCAAUGCGGGCAUGGGAUACCCAUCAGCUUGGGAGCGGGUGAGGUCAGGGGUACUUAUGGGGGAGGGGUAAAAUCCUGUAAUCCUAUAAGGACCAACGGUGGCGAAGGCGCCUGACCAGAACGCAUCCGACAGUGAGGAGCGAAGGCUAGGAGAACGAAUCGGAUCAGAUACCCGGGUAGCCCUAGCAGUAAAUUAUGCAGACUCUGGUGUUGCCGAUGUCUUGAAUAUCGGCAGUACCGUAGCGAAAGUGUUAAGUCUGCCGCCUGGGGAGUACGGCCGCAAGGUUGAAACUUAAAGCAAUUGGCGGGGGAGCACACAAGGGGUGGAUGCUGCGGUUUAAUUGAACCCAACGUCGGAAAUCUUACCGGGAGCGACGGCAGUGUGAAGGCCAGACUGAAGAUCUUGCCUGACGAGCCGAGAGGUAGUGCAUGGCGACCGUCAGCUCGUGGUGUGAACUGUCCGGUUAAGUCCGGGAACGAGCGAGACCCUCAUUGACAGUUGCCACUGUUUCAGUGAUGAAGCAAGCACUCUGUCGAGACCGCCUCUGUUUAAAGAGGAGGAAGGAGAGGGCGACGAUACGUCAGUAUGCUCUGAAUCUUCCGGGCUACACGCGGCAUACAAAGGUUGGCACAAUGGGAUGCAACUCCGAAAGGAGGAGCCAAUCCCCUAAAACCAUCCUUAGUUUGGAUUGAGGGCUGAAACUCGCCCUCAUGAAAAUGGAAUCCCUAGUAAUCGCAUGUCACUAUCGUGCGGUGAAUCUGUCCCAGCUCCUUGCACACACCGCCCGCCACGUCACCCAAGUGAGUCCCUAGUGAGGCAACGUCUUCGGACGUUUUCGAGUUAGGGCUUCGUGAGGAGGGCGAAGGCGUAACAAGGUAUCCGUAGGGGAACCUGCGGAUAGAUCACCUCAAAAGGGC
RNAcentral lists this ribosomal RNA (1412 nucleotides) under uncultured Nanobdellati archaeon. RNAcentral describes it as "bacterial SSU rRNA". It matches the Rfam family "Archaeal small subunit ribosomal RNA". The record is from RNAcentral. Lineage: Archaea; Nanobdellati.